GAUGGGUAGAGGAUAAAAUAUGGAAAUGUUUCUCUUUCUAAAUGUGAUUAUAAAAUAGGAAAUUGUUAUGUCUUUUGCAGGCAUAUCUAGAGCUCUUCAAAUAAGCAAUGUGAUGUUAGAAAAAGUGCAGAAGCUCCUUCAGCACUUUCCAGGGCUAACCAGCUGCUGAGGAGGGACCUCUAGGAAGGAGAGAAGCACUCUGAUCCAGACAGGGAUUUACACCUAAAGUUCCAACUCCACCAUGUCUUCAGAACAGUUCUUCUGGACCUUGCAUCCAAUUGUGGAGAUGUUAAUUAUCAACAAACAAAAUCUCCGGGUGCCCGAAGGACCUAGGCUACACAGAAACCUGUGAACUGCCCGUGAGAAUGCAAUGAGUCAAAAGAAUAACAGAAUUAAAUAAGUUCAGUCUCUAAGUGUGUCUUAAAACUCUUAUCUAUAAACCCCUAAUCUUAGUAAUUUCCGUCACAGUUGUUAUUCAUAAACAUUUGAUCAUUGUUCGUAGAAGAUCUAACAAAUUAGCACCAUGGAUUGUUUUGGAGAUGAAAGGACAGUACACUAUUCCGUUUAGCUUGUUCAGGGCACUUGAGUUAAAUCCCUUGAGUCCUCACUCCAUCAGAUAGUCCAUGAAAUGCUGAUGACGAUAUAAUAAUUAUCCAUACAGUUAGAGUGUUCACUAAUUAAGAAUGC
Molecule: long non-coding RNA, 687 nt
Filed under: Callithrix jacchus (white-tufted-ear marmoset)
Lineage: Eukaryota; Metazoa; Chordata; Mammalia; Primates; Cebidae
Description: lncRNA (ENSCJAG00000051831.2)
Source: RNAcentral